This 505-nucleotide ribosomal RNA is filed under the name uncultured bacterium. RNAcentral's name for it is "partial 16S ribosomal RNA". It matches the Rfam family "Bacterial small subunit ribosomal RNA", at positions 28 to 507 of the family's 1533-position model. The record is from RNAcentral.
GACGAACGCUGGCGGCGUGCCUAAUACAUGCAAGUAGAACGCACAGUUUAUACCGUAGCUUGCUACACCAUAAACUGUGAGUUGCGAACGGGUGAGUAACGCGUAGGUAACCUGCCUGGUAGCGGGGGAUAACUAUUGGAAACGAUAGCUAAUACCGCAUAAUAUUAAUUAUUGCAUGAUAAUUGAUUGAAAGAUGCAAUUGCAUCACUACCAGAUGGACCUGCGUUGUAUUAGCUAGUAGGUGAGGUAACGGCUCACCUAGGCGACGAUACAUAGCCGACCUGAGAGGGUGAUCGGCCACACUGGGACUGAGACACGGCCCAGACUCCUACGGGAGGCAGCAGUAGGGAAUCUUCGUCAAUGGACGAAAGUCUGACCGAGCAACGCCGCGUGAGUGAAGAAGGUUUUCGGAUCGUAAAGCUCUGUUGUAAGAGAAGAACGGGUGUGAGAGUGGAAAGUUCACACUGUGACGGUAUCUUACCAGAAAGGGACGGCUAACUACGUG